AGGUCCCGUAGCUCAGUUGGUUAGAGCGUUGGUCUUAUGAGCCGAAGGUCGCGGGUUCGAGCCCCGCCGGGACCAUGGUUUCCGAC
RNAcentral lists this transfer RNA (86 nucleotides) under Rosa chinensis. RNAcentral describes it as "tRNA RchiOBHm_Chr5g0031551". The stretch from base 2 to 75 matches the Rfam family "tRNA". Rfam says of the family: Transfer RNA (tRNA) molecules are approximately 80 nucleotides in length. Their secondary structure includes four short double-helical elements and three loops (D, anti-codon, and T loops). Further hydrogen bonds mediate the characteristic L-shaped molecular structure. tRNAs have two regions of fundamental functional importance: the anti-codon, which is responsible for specific mRNA codon recognition, and the 3' end, to which the tRNAs corresponding amino acid is attached (by aminoacyl-tRNA synthetases). tRNAs cope with the degeneracy of the genetic code in two manners: having more than one tRNA (with a specific anti-codon) for a particular amino acid; and 'wobble' base-pairing, i.e. permitting non-standard base-pairing at the 3rd anti-codon position. The record is from RNAcentral. RNAcentral also lists the same sequence under 1 other name. Lineage: Eukaryota; Viridiplantae; Streptophyta; Magnoliopsida; Rosales; Rosaceae.